AAUGCCUAGGAAUCUGCCUGGUAGUGGGGGAUAACGUUCGGAAACGGACGCUAAUACCGCAUACGUCCUACGGGAGAAAGCAGGGGACCUUCGGGCCUUGCGCUAUCAGAUGAGCCUAGGUCGGAUUAGCUAGUUGGUGAGGUAAUGGCUCACCAAGGCGACGAUCCGUAACUGGUCUGAGAGGAUGAUCAGUCACACUGGAACUGAGACACGGUCCAGACUCCUACGGGAGGCAGCAGUGGGGAAUAUUGGACAAUGGGCGAAAGCCUGAUCCAGCCAUGCCGCGUGUGUGAAGAAGGUCUUCGGAUUGUAAAGCACUUUAAGUUGGGAGGAAGGGUUGUAGAUUAAUACUCUGCAAUUUUGACGUUACCGACAGAAUAAGCACCGGCUAACUCUGUGCCAGCAGCCGCGGUAAUACAGAGGGUGCAAGCGUUAAUCGGAAUUACUGGGCGUAAAGCGCGCGUAGGUGGUUUGUUAAGUUGGAUGUGAAAUCCCCGGGCUCAACCUGGGAACUGCAUUCAAAACUGACUGACUAGAGUGUGGUAGAGGGUGGUGGAAUUUCCUGUGUAGCGGUGAAAUGCGUAGAUAUAGGAAGG
Molecule: ribosomal RNA, 596 nt
Filed under: uncultured bacterium
Lineage: Bacteria
Description: bacterial SSU rRNA
Rfam family: Bacterial small subunit ribosomal RNA
Source: RNAcentral